RNAcentral lists this ribosomal RNA (510 nucleotides) under uncultured bacterium. RNAcentral's name for it is "bacterial SSU rRNA". It matches the Rfam family "Bacterial small subunit ribosomal RNA", at positions 26 to 518 of the family's 1533-position model. The record is from RNAcentral.
AGAUUGAACGCUGGCGGCGUGCUUAACACAUGCAAGUCGAACGCGAAAGGGACUUCGGUCCUGAGUAAAGUGGCGCACGGGUGAGUAACGCGUGGAUAAUCGUGCCCUUAUGAUCGGGAUAACAGUUGGAAACGGCUGCUAAUACCGGAUACGCUCGAAAAUGAACUUUUUGAGGAAAGAUGGCCUCUGCUUGCAUGCUAUCACGUAAGGAUGAGUCCGCGUCCCAUUAGCUUGUGGCGGGUAACGGCCCACCAAGGCAACGAUGGGUAGCCGAUUUGAGAGGAUGAUCGGCCACACUGGAACUGAAACACGGUCCAGACUCCUACGGGAGGCAGCAGUGGGGAAUAUUGCGCAAUGGGCGAAAGCCUGACGCAGCGACGCCGCGUGAGGGAUUGAAGGUUUUCGGAUCGUAAACCUCUGUCAGAAGGGAAGAAACUACGUUGUGCUAAUCAGCAGCGUACUGACGGUACCUUCAAAGGAAGCACCGGCUAACUCCGUGCCAGCAGCCGC